This 492-nucleotide ribosomal RNA is filed under the name uncultured bacterium. Its description in RNAcentral is "partial 16S ribosomal RNA". It matches the Rfam family "Bacterial small subunit ribosomal RNA", at positions 29 to 507 of the family's 1533-position model. The record is from RNAcentral.
AGUGAACGCUGGCGGUAGGCCUAACACACGCAAGUCGAACGGCAGCACAGUAAGAGCUUGCUCUUACGGGUGGCGAGUGGCGGACGGGUGAGGAAUACAUCGGAAUCUACUUUUUCGUGGGGGAUAACGUAGGGAAACUUACGCUAAUACCGCAUACGACCUACGGGUGAAAGCAGGGGAUCUUCGGACCUUGCGCGAUUGAAUGAGCCGAUGUCGGAUUAGCUAGUUGGCGGGGUAAAGGCCCACCAAGGCGACGAUCCGUAGCUGGUCUGAGAGGAUGAUCAGCCACACUGGAACUGAGACACGGUCCAGACUCCUACGGGAGGCAGCAGUGGGGAAUAUUGGACAAUGGGCGCAAGCCUGAUCCAGCCAUUCCGCGUGGGUGAAGAAGGCCUUCGGGUUGUAAAGCCCUUUUGUUGGGAAAGAAAAGCAGCAGGUUAAUACCCCGCUGUUCUGACGGUACCCAAAGAAUAAGCACCGGCUAACUUCGUG